CCUACGGGAGGCAGCAGUGGGGAAUAUUGCACAAUGGGGGAAACCCUGAUGCAGCGACGCCGCGUGAGUGAAGAAGUAUUUCGGUAUGUAAAGCUCUAUCAGCAGGGAAGAAGAAAGACGGUACCUGACUAAGAAGCCCCGGCUAACUACGUGCCAGCAGCCGCGGUAAUACGUAGGGGGCAAGCGUUAUCCGGAUUUACUGGGUGUAAAGGGAGCGUAGGCGGCUGUGCAAGUCUGAAGUGAAAGCCCAGUGCUCAACCCUGGGACUGCUGUGGAAACUGGGGAGCUAGAGUGCAGGAGAGGUAAGUGGAAUUCCUAGUGUAGCGGUGAAAGGCGUAGAUAUUAGGAGGAACACCAGUGGCGAAGGCGGCUUACUGGACAGUAACUGACGUUGAGGCUCGAAAGCGUGGGGAGCAAACAGGAUUAGAUACCCUAGUAGUC
This 441-nucleotide ribosomal RNA is filed under the name uncultured bacterium. RNAcentral's name for it is "partial 16S ribosomal RNA". It matches the Rfam family "Bacterial small subunit ribosomal RNA", at positions 338 to 795 of the family's 1533-position model. The record is from RNAcentral.